This is a non-coding RNA of Malus domestica (apple), 304 nucleotides long. NCBI's taxonomy places the organism in Eukaryota, Viridiplantae, Streptophyta, Magnoliopsida, Rosales, Rosaceae. The record is from RefSeq and is a predicted model, not a curated record.
CUCAUCGCUGCGUCUUCCCUCAUCGUCGUCCUUGCCCUGCUCCCUCAUCGUCAUCUUCCUCAUUCUGAUCUCUGCGCCUUCCCUCAUCUGCAUCUGCUCGCCCUCAUCUGCUCCGACUUGUCUGCAAUUUCGUGUCUGGGUUUCACAAGAGGAAGAAGAAGAGGAGAAGGGAAGCUGAGCAGAAGCAAGGAGAGGCAUUGCGGCGGAAACGUCUCAAGCUGUGCAAAAAGGGGAAUUCUAUAUCGACUACAAAGUACAACUUCAUUACAUUUUUGCCGAAAGGACUCUUUGAACAGGUAAUUCA